Molecule: transfer RNA, 76 nt
Filed under: Verrucomicrobiota bacterium
Lineage: Bacteria; Pseudomonadati; Verrucomicrobiota
Also listed under: 1 other name
Description: tRNA-Thr
Rfam family: tRNA
About the family: Transfer RNA (tRNA) molecules are approximately 80 nucleotides in length. Their secondary structure includes four short double-helical elements and three loops (D, anti-codon, and T loops).
Source: RNAcentral
GCCCACGUAGCUCAGUUGGCAGAGCGCGUCCUUGGUAAGGACGAGGUCAUCAGUUCAAUCCUGAUCGUGGGCUCCA